This is a long non-coding RNA of Hibiscus syriacus, 193 nucleotides long. RefSeq lists it as uncharacterized. Lineage: Eukaryota; Viridiplantae; Streptophyta; Magnoliopsida; Malvales; Malvaceae. The record is from RefSeq and is a predicted model, not a curated record. The transcript is spliced from 3 exons.
GACAUUUUUCGUUUUACCAGAUUCCAAGUGAAGAAGAAGCAAUUUUUCCGCAACUUUAUGGCAAUCAUACUGAUUGGUGCAGUUGGUACUUUAAUAUCGUUUGGCAUCAUAUCUGUUGGUGCCAUUGAGAUUUUCAAGAAAAUGAAUAUUGGGGAUCUGCAGAUAGGGGAUUAUCUUGCAAUUGGGGCAUUUU